Helianthus annuus (common sunflower) is the source of this 626-nucleotide long non-coding RNA. RefSeq lists it as uncharacterized. The transcript is spliced from 3 exons. Lineage: Eukaryota; Viridiplantae; Streptophyta; Magnoliopsida; Asterales; Asteraceae. The record is from RefSeq and is a predicted model, not a curated record.
UCAUCUCCUUCCUCUGCAAUCUUCAUUCUUGAAGAAACCUAAUCUACAUCACCUCCGCCUCUCACCGCCGUCAACCGUCUCCACCCUUCAUCCUCUUACCUUUCUCCUCCACCACCACAAAUCUUCAUCCUCUUACCUUUCUCCUCCACCUUCAGCCACCGCACAUGCCGCCGUUACAUCUCCUACGCCAUCACCGUCCUCCUCCUCACCGCCGCCAUCUACUUCCUCUGUUUAGAGGUAUCUUCAACAUUGAUGAUAGUGAUGGCGGAGCUGGAGGCAGCAAUUCAGCCGCAACGCCGCACCGAUGGCCGACAAGCUUUUCCGACGAACAAGAUGGUUGCAGGUUUAACGGAGGUGAUGAUCUACAGAUAGAGAGAGAGAAGAGAGAGAGAGACAAGGUUUUUUUUAAAAGACCAUUUUGCCCCUGAGCAAAAUGACAAAAUAGCAGGGGUUUUUUUUGAGAAAUUUGACCUGGUUUGAUUUUUGGGCCAAAAUGGCAACAAAAAUGAAACCACAGGGACCCAGAUGUAAAAAGUUUCAAAUUUGGACUAAAGUGGCAAAAGUGACCAAACCUCAGGGACCAAAAUGACAGUUUACUCUAUUUUUAAAUAUAGUUUUCAUAUACA